RNAcentral lists this long non-coding RNA (735 nucleotides) under Mustela putorius furo (domestic ferret). RNAcentral describes it as "lncRNA (ENSMPUG00000024543.1)". Lineage: Eukaryota; Metazoa; Chordata; Mammalia; Carnivora; Mustelidae. The record is from RNAcentral.
GGAAAGUUGUUUUUUUUUUUUUUUCCCCUUUUUUAUGCUCUGUGUGUUAUGUGUCAAGGUUUUAGAUGUGAGUCCUUCAAAAUUGUCAGACUUCAUUUCCCUCCAGCUGUUUUGGAGCUGAUUUUCCAACUUCUUCCACAAGGAACUUGCCUGGAACUCUUCUCUCUACUUGGACUGUGCAGUCAGAAGAAAACAACAUUUCUGGACAGGGCAGUGUGGAGAAAUCCUAAGAGAAAUAGCAUAAGAGCAUUUUUGGAAUAUAUCCCGGAAAAGAUAACUUUCUACACAUCUGUAGAGAUUCGCCUGGUUAAGUAUGGGCCAGUGUACUAGAGGAUGGAAAGAAAAAAAAGAAGGCUGGCAACUGAAUUGAGAAAUGGAGGUAUUGAGAGAACCAUGCAAUAAUAAGAGGUCAUAAUCUAAUUAUCAAUGAAAUCUUGCUUCAGCCCUUGUUUUACAAGUAAGAAGUGUAAAUUGUCUGAAACAACAGCUUAAAGACAGAUUCAGGUUUCUGAAUAAUCAAUUGGUAAUGUCAGGAAAGUGUCCACAAAGCUCCAACAGUGGGGUGAGGAAUGACACCUUUACAAAAAAGAGUGUGCUCUUUGUGCCACAUCUUAUCAGGUUGGAAGAUUUAAACUUUUGUUUUUUUUAAGAUUUUAUUUAUUUAUUUAACAGAGAGAGAUCACAAGUAGGCAGAGAGGCAGACAGAAGGGGAAGCAGGCAGAGGGGGAGACCGAG